CCAGAUCCCACUCGGACCCUUUUUUCCGUCCCGACCAAUCUGAGUCUGUCAAGAUACGCUUUGCAGCGAAAACCAAACCAAACACAACUAGUUAGCUGUCACACAGUUCAAAGCGGGCUCCACAAGUCGCGCAUAAACCUCACUAUAUAAGCACCACCGAACAUUUAACCGAGUCAUUGCCAAUAACUUGCUUACUGAAUCAAUUCUUUGUUUUCACAUAUAGUUCUUGCUUCUUGUUUUUCUUCAGCAGUUAAUAUUAACACAGAUGGGGCAAAUUAGCAGCUUUAAGUCAGUCAUGAUGGUGUUCGUUUUGGCAGCUUUUGCAAUGGCUGCUGCUUCAGCUCAAAGCACCGAGAUGGCCCCGGCACCAUCUCCUUCAUUGGACACCGGAGCAGCCUCUUCUCUUCCGGUUUCCGGUGCUGUUAUUGCAUCUUCGCUGUUUGUUUCUCUUCUCGCUCUCCUGAAGCACUAAGUCGUUUGGUAAUGGAAGAAAAUCAUAGUUAUUACUAAGAUAUUAUUUUCGAGGAUGAUUGGAGAUUAAUGUAUUGAAUUAUUCAUUUGUUCGUUUCAUAUUUCAUACUAUUAAUGACAUAAUAAUACUUAUUCUUUCUGUAUUCAUUUGGUUUUUCUUUUGAGUUCAAUCACUUGUAGUUUAUUAUUAUUAUUAUUUAAGUAGUAUGUUAAUUUCUAACGAGAACAAGUUAAGGCCUGAGUUGGUAUUAAAGUUGGACAAUCGGAACUUAAAAUUAUGAUUAGAUUACACUUGUUCAAAUAAUAAUAUAAAGUGAAAAUAUCUCCAAAUGGUUCAUUUAAUAUUUUUUUAGGUACUUAUUUACUUAAAUAUGUGACAAAUAGAACAGUAAAAAAUAAAUUUUCUUAAAUACUCUUUGAAUAAAAAUAAAUUUAUGUUAAAUUAUAUUAUUUUUAAUAAUAUAAUUAUAUUAUUUCUAUCUUUUCAAUAUUGAUAAUAUAAAAAAUAUAAUAUUAUUUGAAGAGAAAACAAUCACUUUUCAAUAUUGAUAAGAAAGGAGGAUAAUCUUAUUUAAAGGGAAUUUUAAAACUUUACUAUUGAUAAGAAAGGAGGAUAAUCUUAUUUAAAGGGAAUUUUAAAACUUUACUAUUGAUAAGAAAGGAGGAUAAUCUUAUUUAAAGGGAAUUUUAAAACUUUACUAUUGAUAAGAAAGGAGGAUAAUCUUAUUUAAAGGGAAUUUUAAAACUUUACUAUUGAUAAGAAAGGAGGAUAAUCUUAUUUAAAGGGAAUUUUAAAACUUUACUAUUGAUAAGAAAGGAGGAUAAUCUUAUUUAAAGGGAAUUUUAAAACUUUACUAUUGAUAAGAAAGGAGGAUAAUCUUAUUUAAAGGGAAUUUUAAAACUUUACUAUUGAUAAGAAAGGAGGAUAAUCUUAUUUAAAGGGAAUUUUAAAACUUUACUAUUGAUAAGAAAGGAGGAUAAUCUUAUUUAAAGGGAAUUUUAAAACUUUACUAUUGAUAAGAAAGGAGGAUAAUCUUAUUUAAAGGGAAUUUUAAAACUUUACCUCAUUCCGGUUGUACGAUCAUGCUUUAAAAUGUGUACGGGUCUCGUAUCAAUGUCCCAAAUAGUCUAAAUGUUUUGCUUACCAUAUUCUAAUUAAUAAUAAAUUGACAUUUUGAUGAUAUUUUAAAAAAGAUUCGAAAUUGAAAUGAAAAACAUCCAAGAUACAAUUAAAAUUGCUAAUUCUCUAGUAUCAAAGAUCUAAUUUACAAAUAAAUCAGAAUAUUGAAUUUGAAAAUUUGAUGUAAAAUAAAAAAUUAAAAAAAAAUGGUUGAAAUGGGAUCCAGUUGAGAUUUUGAGAUUUUAAUUUCUUAUUGUCUCUUAAUCAGUUAAAUGAAACUGUUUAAAAACUAUUAAAUCAAGCACCUCUAGGGGCAGAAGAGCUUGAGUUUAUUUGCCAAGAUUAAGGAUUAAUUUCAGUUUUGCUCUUCAAUUUGUAAAAACAUCUGCUAAGCCCACGCUCUAAUUAGUUGCCACCAAUUUAAAGAAAAAAAUUACGAGAUAUGCAAUUUUGUUUUAAGAAAUGUUAACUAAUUAUUUUUUAUUUGAUACAAGAAAAUUGCAACAGCAUGCCUACAGAUUCUUAUAAAAAAAAAUAAAAGAAUGAGUCAUCAAUGGGCCCGUUUAAUGGAAAUUAAGAUUUUUUAUAGAUUUUUUUUCUAAGUAGUAAAGAAGAAAAACCAAAUGAAUAAAGUGAAAAAAAAAGAUGAAAUAUUAUUAAUUAAUAAUUUAUUGAUAAUACAAAUAUUGAUAACAAACAAGCAAAGAAUAAAUGCAAUACUAUAUCUCCAUUUCCUCAAAAUACAACCUCUUUUUUUACACACAACGAAUUUCCAUUCAAUGCUUCAGCAGGGCAAGAAGAGAUAAAACGAGGGAAGAACCAACGACGGCAAGAGAAACCGGCAGAGAGAAGCCGGCUCCGGUAUCCAUCGAAGGAGCCGGCGCCGGCGCCAUCUCGGUACUUUGCGCCGACACGGAAGCAGCCAUUGUAAAAGUUGCCAAAACCAACCCCAUCAUCGCAUUCACGGCCUUUUUUGAGCUACUAACUGUCGCCAUUGUAUUAUAUAUAUACUGUUAAAAGUGUUGAAGAACUUGAAACUGCUAUCCGAGCUUACAAGUGGUUCGGUUCAACGUUUGUGAUGGUUAUAUAUAAGAGCUUCUUUUCGUCUGAGGUAGCCACGUGCAGGUACAGCAAUGCCGCGUAUAUAUAUACGUGUUGGUGAUGAUUGGUCUACGGGUUGGUGAGCAGCGUAUAAACAUAUAUAAUCAUGAUAUCCAGUUCCAGUUUUGGAGGUCUGUAGGCACUGACAGGUUUGGUUAAUGGAGCAAUUAAGGCAGUACACUAACUGGUGUCUAGCUUUCAUUUGGGAAGUGAUUAUACGACUGCGAAAAAUAGAUCAGGAUCCUAUAUUAUAUGAUGACUCGUAUAUAAAUAUUUUUAUUUCUUGAAUAUUUGUCUAUUCACUCUUGAAACAAAUGGAAGACUACCGUGCAUUAGCACAAAUCCUGUGGGUUGAGUGUCUUUUUAACUCUUGGCUUUAUAUGUUUAUAAAAUUGUAGAUUAUACAAUACAUACACAUGGUGGCACCUCUUAAAACUUUCUUAAUGUGAUGAUUUUGCCAAGAAAUUAAUUUGUGCCGAACUGUCUUAUUAGCUAAACAUGUUGAGGUAAUGAAACAGUUUAAAGUUGGCAGAGCGAUGAGUUUUAUUGUAAGAUUCACUGAUAUUUUUAAUAUUAAAUUUAAUACAUCUUAUUAUAAGAAUUACUAUUGAUCCCAUAAUAAGACUACUGUUAUGUCACAUGACAAAACACUACUAGAUUGUCUCAGAUAACCUCACAAAAGUCCUUCUCUAUUGCCAAAUUUGUAUAGCAAAUUCCUAUUGAAUCAUGUAUCCAUGACCUUAAGUAAUUAAAAGGAAAUAAAAAUAAUGACAAGGAAGGAAUUAAGGGGAAAAAAAAUAACUCUCGUCUAAGAUUGUACUAUAUAAAUAGAUAAUAUAUUAAGAUUUUAACUAGUAGUGACCGACCAUUUUCUCAUCUAACAAAAGAGAGAUAGGUCAUUAGAGGAGUAAGAAUUAUCCUUCAAAUUAUUAUAAUACUUUUUUUUAUAAAUCAAACGCUAAGUUAGGCAUCAAAGGGUCAUCAAUAAAUAGAAGAUGGAUACUCAGAACUUUAGGAACGAAUCAUUUCUUAGAAAUGGAGGAUUUGGAGCCCCUUCAAUACUUUUUUUUUUUUUAAUUUAAUGAUCUUUACCCACUGUCAAUCUGUAGAUUCUAACCAAUUCAUUACACAUGCUUGUAAACUACAUAUUUAAGGCACGCAACCGUUUACCGACUUAACAAUGGUCAACAUCGUGAGUCCAACUACCACGUGCCAACGUGUUCCAGAUCCCACUCGGUCCCAUGUUUUUAGUUCCGACCAAUCUGAGUCUGUCAAGAUACGCUUUGGGCGAAAACCAAACCAAACACAACACGUUUGCCGUCACACAGAUCGAAGCGGGCUCCACAAGCCGCGCAUACACCUCAUGACCUCACUAUAUAAGCACCACCUAACAUUUAACGGAGCCAUUGCCCAUAACUUGCUUACUGAAUCAAUUCUUUGUUUUCAUAUAUAGUUCUUGCUUCUUGUUUUUCUUCAGCAAUUAAUAUAAAUAUAGAUGGCGCAAAUUAGCAGCUUAAAGUCCGUUAUGAUGAUGUUCGUUUUGGCAGCUCUUGCAAUGGCUGCUGCUUCAGCUCAAAGCACCGAGAUGGCGCCGGCACCGGCUCCUUCAUCGGACACCGGAGCAGCCUCCUCUCUGCCGGUUUCCAGUGCUGUUAUUGCAUCUUCACUCUUUGUUUCUUUUCUUGGCCUCCUGAAGCACUAAGUCGUUUGGUAACGGAAGAAAAUCAAAAUUAUUACUACGAUAUUAUUUUCGAGGAUGAUUGGAGAUUAAUGUAUUGAAUUAUUUAUUUGUUCGAUUAAUAUUUCAUACUAUUAAUGGCAUAAUAAUACUUAUUCUUUCUGUAUUCAUUUGGUUUUUCUUUUGAGUUCAAUAACUUGUAGUUAUUAUUAUUAUUAUUAUUAUUUAAUAUAUAUGCUUAUAAUUAGUGUGUUAAUUUCCAACGAGAACAAGUCGAGGCUUGAUUUGGUAUUGAGAUUAGAUAAUCGGAGCUUAAAAUUACAAUAAGGUUGUACUUGUCCAAAUAAUACUACGCAAGUGAAUCUUCAAAAGACUAAUUUAAUAUUACUUUUUAGAUAUUUAUUUAUUUAAAUGUGUGACAAAUAGAAGUGAGAAAAAAUAAGUUUUUUU
Molecule: long non-coding RNA, 4820 nt
Filed under: Citrus sinensis (sweet orange)
Lineage: Eukaryota; Viridiplantae; Streptophyta; Magnoliopsida; Sapindales; Rutaceae
Description: long non-coding RNA (CSIN_LNC003944)
Source: RNAcentral